This 253-nucleotide ribosomal RNA is filed under the name uncultured bacterium. RNAcentral describes it as "partial 16S ribosomal RNA". It matches the Rfam family "Bacterial small subunit ribosomal RNA", at positions 524 to 776 of the family's 1533-position model. The record is from RNAcentral.
UACGGGGGGGGCAAGCGUUGUUCGGAAUUACUGGGCGUAAAGGGUCUGUAGGUGGCCAACUAAGUCAGACGUGAAAUCCCUCAGCUUAACUGGGGAACUGCGUCUGAUACUGGUCGGCUUGAGUGCAGGAGAGGAAUGCGGAAUUCCAGGUGUAGCGGUGAAAUGCGUAGAUAUCUGGAGGAACACCGGUGGCGAAGGCGGCAUUCUGGACUGUAACUGACACUGAAAGACGAAAGCCAGGGGAGCAAACGGG